This 5299-nucleotide long non-coding RNA is filed under the name Xyrichtys novacula (pearly razorfish). The record is from RNAcentral. Lineage: Eukaryota; Metazoa; Chordata; Actinopteri; Labriformes; Labridae.
GCAGUUGAAGUAGAGGGGAAAGUUCUAGUUUAAUUGACAUUAGCAGUAGUUGUCGUACUUGAGGUAGGAUUUUGUUUGAAUGAUGGAGUAAUGCAUAAAUAUUAAAACUAAUUUAAAACAGGGAAAUUUUAAAUUAUCAAAAGUCCUCAAGUAUCAGAAAGUUUUGAAGUAUUAGAAAGGUUUGAAUCAGUUUGAAUGAGUUUAAAUUAGUUUGAAAAAUUAAAUGAUAAAUCAUCACUGAGUGACUUUAAAAUGUGAAAAAUUUAAAUGAAUAACAAUCCUAAAUACACCCAAUAAUGUCCUCAAUGAGCUUAAAUUUCAAAGCCCUGAAUGGUUUCUGUAGGUCAAAGGUCAUGUGAGGAGAUAGGGGCUGAAGUUUUUUCCAACGCUCUAGGAAAGGGUUUUAAGUGUCAUCCCAAUUGCUAUGUGUACUGAGCCUGGCUUCAUGUGUCUCAUAUGGCCACUAGAAGCAGCUUUCCAGUCAGCUGUGUGUCUCCAGGUGCACAAAUUGGUUGCCAUGGGGACCUUGGAUGCAUAACUAUAGCAGGAGAAAGAAGGCUUGAAGCUAAAGAAACAGGACUCCAAGUAGGCCCUGACGCUCACCCUCUGUAUAUAUUCAUAAGGAGCUUGUGAGAACACAAGACUCUGCUGAACACAUUAAUACAAUUUAUUAUCACAAUCCUCAAAACACCCCAUAAUAUCUUCAAUGAGCUGAAUUUUUGAAGCCCAGAAUGGUUUCUGUAGCUCAAAGUUUGUGGGUGGAGAUAGGUGGUGAAGCAGACACAUAUUAACUGUGUGUACAAGCAGCUGAACUGCAAGGUGGACCUCAAAAAGCAAUAAGUACAAGAAUGUGUGUGCGUGUGUGUGUGUGUGUCUCGUUAAUGACUGCAUCCUAAACAGCUGUGAGAUCAAAGGCAAAUCACUAACCUACUGUUUGACUGAGAGGUGCUGAACUGGAGUGAAUUUCAGCCUGUGAACUUCUUCACAUAGCGUGAUUUCCUUAAGUCCCAGAAUGAAAAUAAGAACAUCGUACGAAUCCUCCGUCCUUCAUGAACACAAUGAUGUCUUUUUCAUGUCUGUACUCCGAAAAAUGUGGCCACAACAGCGAGUUAAAAAAGUCUGAGCCUCAGUGGCGAUAAGGAUUUUCUUGGAGAAAAAAGACAUUAGGGCCAAUGGGGACAGUUUUCCGCCUAUUUGGACAGUUGGUCACCUGCUGGCCAAGGGGUAGGAUUUAAUGAUUUGAAACCUCUUUUGUGAGAAGGAGGACACAUAUACCUCCAUUUUGAUGUAUUUUUUAUGGCUGUAGAGUGAGAUUUGUGGGCAUGGGAGUGAUAUAUUCGAGCGAGGUUUUGUCGAUCAGAGACGAGGUCUGCACUGUAGCUUUUCAAAUCAUCACUCUAGCCUCUCCAAUACACCCCUAUUAUAAAGCCUGAAAUCUGCUGAAAACCACGAGUUGCAUAAAGCUUAAUUGUGGAAAAACUGUAAAAGAUAGCAGAAAAACGUUAAUACAACAUCAAUAGUCGACAAGACAAUGAACAUUUUAAAGCAAAAAUGAGGUCUCUAGGUGAAAGUAUGCUGAAGUUAUAAGGCUUAGAAGGUGGACGAAUAACAGGAAGAAUUGAAAGAUUUCCCCAUUCAUUUGUAUGGGAAAAAAAGUUUGGCACAAAAAGUGAAAAAUAAUAAAAAGUAUAAAGGGUAGAAAAGAGAAAAGUAAUAGCCAUCAUGUCCUGAAGGAGUGGAAUAGUUUAAAGUUUGAAUGGUUGAAAUCGGACAAAGUUUGAAGGAGGAGAAGCGGUCCAAAGAAACGUAAGGGGAGAGUGUUAAGUAUAAUACUAGAAAAAUUGCAUUUCCUUGCAGAAAAUGCGUGGAAAUGCUGAGUGCUGAAAGCUGAAAAAGCAAUGCUAAACUGCUAAUAAAACAUGGAGAAAGGUAUAAAUGUUAAAGCUGUUGAAGGGGUGAAAAGAAAUAUAAGUUGGAUAAUUGAUGAAUUGGUUGAAGGACAAAUAGUAUGAAUAUGCUCUAUAAAAGGAAAUUUUAUUCAUGCUGAAAGAGGCUAGAAAAAUGUCGAAAAUUGCACAAAGUUUGAAUGAAGAAGGAAAUUGCCUUAAAAGGCAGGAAGGUGGGAAGUGGCAUAACUUUAAUUUUUUAAGUAUUAGAAAGGUUUGAAUCAGUUUGAAUCAGUUCAAAUUAGUUUGAAAAAUUAAAUGAUAAAUCAUCACUGAGUGACUUUAAAAUGUGAAAAAUCUAAAUGUAUAUAAAUCCUAAAUACACACCAUAAUGUCCUCAAUGAGCUCAAAUUUUAAAGCCCUGAAUGGUUUCUGUAGGUCAAAGGUCAUGUGAGGAGAUAGGGGCUGAAGUUUUUUCAAGCGCUCUAGUAAAGGGUUUUAAGUGUCAUCCCCAGUGCUAUGUGUGCUGAGCCUGGCUUCAUGUGUCUCAUAUGGCCAUUAGAAGCAGCUUUCCAGUCAGCUGUGUGUCUCCAGGUGCACUAAUUGGUUGCCAUGGGGACCUUGGAUGCAUAACUAUAGCAGGAGAAAGAAGGCUUGAAGCUAAGGAAACAGGACUCCAAGUAGGCCCUGACGCUCAUCCUCUGUAUCUAUUCCUGAUAAGGAGCUUGUGAGAACAUAAGACUCUGCUAAACACAUUAAUACAAUUUAUUAUCACAAUCCUCAAAACACCCCAUAAUAUCUUCAGUGAGCAGAAUUUUAGAAGCCCAGAAUGGUUUCUGUAGCUCAAAGUUUGUGGGUGGAGAUAGGUGGCGAAGCAGACACAUAUUAACUGUGUGUACUAGCAGCUGAACUGCAAGGUAGACCUCAUAAAGCAACAAGUACAAGAAUGUGUGUGUGUGUGUGUGUGUGUGUCUCGUUAAUGACUGCAUCCUAAACAGCUGUGAGAUCAAAGGCAAAUCACUGACCUACUGUUUGAAUGAGAAGCAGCUGAACUACAGAGGAUUUAGAGGCUCUAAACUUCUUCACAUAGCGUGAUUUCCUUAAGUCACAGAAUGAAAAUAAGAACAUCGUACGAAUCCUCGGCCCUUCAUGAACACAAUGAUGUCUUUUUCAUGUCUGCACUCCGAAAAAUGUGGCCACAACAGCGAGUUAAAAAAGUCUGAGCCUGAGUGGGGAUAAGGAUUUUCUUGGAGAAGAAAUACAUUAGGUCUAAUGGGGAGAGAUUUCCGCCUUCUUUGGACAGUUGGUCACCUGCUGGCCAAGGGGUACGAUUUAAUGAUUUGAAACCUCUUUUGUGAGAAGCAGGACACAUAUACCUCCAUUUUGAUGUAUUAUUUGUGUCAGUGGAGUGAGAUUUGUGGGCGUGGGAGCGAUAUAUUCGAGCGAGGUUCUGUCGAUCAGAGACGAGGUCUGCACUCUAGCUGAUGACAUCAUCACUCUAAACUCUCCAAUACACACCCAUUAUAAAGCUUGAAAUUUGCUGAAAACCACAAGUUGCUUAAAGCUAAAUUGUGGAAAAACUGUAAGAGAUAUCAAAAAACUGAGUACAACUAUAAUAAUCGACAAGUGAAUGAACAUUUUAAAGCAAAAAUGAGGUCUCUAGGUGAAAGUAUGCUGAAGUUAUAAGGUCUAGAAGGUGGAAGAAUAAAAGGAAGAAUUGGAAGAUUUCCCCAUUGACUUCAAUGUUAAAAUUUUUGCACAAAAAGUUAAAAAAAACAAAAAGUAUAAAUGUUAGAAAAGUGAAAAGUAAUAGCAAACGUGUCCUGAAGGAGUGGAAUAGUUUAAAGUUUGAACGGUUGAAAUCGCACAAACUGGGAAGGAGUUGAAAGCGGACGAAAAACGGCGGAAGAAUAAUAAUAAUAAUAAUAAUAAUAAUAAUAAUAAAGAAACGGGAGAAUAACAAUAAGUGGAAAUGCCUAUCAGCAUUUCCACUUAAUAACUAGAAAAAUUGCAUUUCCUUGCAGAAAAUGCGUGGAAAUGCUGAGUGCUGAAAGCUGAAAAAGCAAUGCUAAACUGCUAAUAAAACAUGGAGAAAGGUAUAAAUGUUAAAGCUGUUGAAGGGGUGAACAGAAAUAUAAGUUGGAUAAUUGAUUAAUUGGUUGAAGGACAAAUAGUAUGAAUAUGCUCUAUAAAAGGAAAUUUUAUUCAUGCUGAAAGAGGCUAGAAAAAUGUCGAAAAUUGCACAAAGUUUGAAUGAAGAAGGAAAUUGCCUUAAAAGGCAGGAAGGUGAGAAGUGGCAUAAGUUUAAAUUGUAGUACUAGAAGUAGUAUGAUAAGAAGUCAAGUCGUGAUACUAGUAGUCAUGUCAGCAGUAGAAGUAGAUUGAGAAUAAAAGAAGUAUAAGUCAAAGUAGUAAAGAAAGUAGAAAUAGGAGCAAUAGCAGUUGAAGUAGAGGGGAAAGUUCUAGUUUAAUUGACAUUAGCAGUAGUUGUCGUACUUGAGGUAGGAUUUUGUUUGAAUGAUGGAGUAAUGCAUAAAUAUUAAAACUAAUUUAAAACAGGGAAAUUUUAAAUUAUCAAAAGUCCUCAAGUAUCAGAAAGUUUUGAAGUAUUAGAAAGGUUUGAAUCAGUUUGAAUGAGUUUAAAUUAGUUUGAAAAAUUAAAUGAUAAAUCAUCACUGACUGACUUAUAAAAUGUGAAAAAUUUAAAUGAAUAACAAUCCUAAAUACACCCAAUAAUGUCCUCAAUGAGCUUAAAUUUCAAAGCCCUGAAUGGUUUCUGUAGGUCAAAGGUCAUGUGAGGAGAUAGGGGCUGAAGUUUUUUCAAGCGCUCUAGUAAAGGGUUUUAAGUGUCAUCCCCAGUGCUAUGUGUGCUGAGCCUGGCUUCAUGUGUCUCAUAUGGCCAUUAGAAGCAGCUUUCCAGUCAGCUGUGUGUCUCCAGGUGCACAAAUUGGUUGCCAUGGGGACCUUGGAUGCAUAACUAUAGCAGGAGAAAGAAGGCUUGAAGCUGAAGAAACAGGACUCCAAGUAGGCCCUGACGCUCACCCUCUGUAUAUAUUCAUAAGGAGCUUGUGAGAACACAAGACUCUGCUGCACACAUUAAUACAAUUUAUUAUCACAAUCCUCAAAACACCCCAUAAUAUCUUCAAUGAGCUGAAUUUUUGAAGCCCAGAAUGGUUUCUGUAGCUCAAAGUUUGUGGGUGGAGAUAGGUGGUGAAGCAGACACAUAUUAACUGUGUAUACAAGCAGCUGAACUGCAAGGUAGACCUGACAGCAAAAAGUACAAGAAUCUGUGUGUGUGUGUGUGUGUGUGUGUGUGUGUCUCGUUAAUGAUUGCAUCCUAAACAGCUGUGAGAUCAAAGCAUUAACUAACCUAUUGUUUGAAUGGAGAAGCUGCCGAACUGCAGUGAAUUUAG